UACGAAGGGGGCUAGCGUUGUUCGGAAUCACUGGGCGUAAAGCGCUCGUAGGCGGAUCUUUUAAGUCAGAGGUGAAAUCCCAAGGCUCAACCUUGGAACUGCCUUUGAUACUGGGGAUCUCGAGUCCGGGAGAGGUGAGUGGAACUGCGAGUGUAGAGGUGAAAUUCGUAGAUAUUCGCAAGAACACCAGUGGCGAAGGCGGCUCACUGGCCCGGUACUGACGCUGAGGAGCGAAAGCGUGGGGAGCAA
Molecule: ribosomal RNA, 249 nt
Filed under: uncultured bacterium
Lineage: Bacteria
Description: partial 16S ribosomal RNA
Rfam family: Bacterial small subunit ribosomal RNA
Source: RNAcentral